Molecule: ribosomal RNA, 422 nt
Filed under: uncultured prokaryote
Description: bacterial SSU rRNA
Rfam family: Bacterial small subunit ribosomal RNA
Source: RNAcentral
UCGAGAAUAUUUAGCAAUGGGCGAAAGCCUGACUAUGCGACGCCGCGUGAGGGAUGAAGGAUUUCGGUUCGUAAACCUCUUCCGAUGCGGAUGAAACUACUCCUAGAAAUAGGGGAACUGACAGUACGCAGAGAAGAAGCCAUGGCCAACUCCGUGCCAGCAGCCGCGGUAAUACGGGAUGGCGAGCGUUACUCGGAUUUACUGGGUGUAAAGGACAGGCAGGCGGCUUUGCAAGUUGAAGGUUAAAUCCUCUGACUCAAUCAGAGACAUGCCUUCAAAACUACAUUGCUUGAGGAUUUGAGAGGAGAGCGGAAUUCCCGGUGUAAGGGUGAAAUCUGUAGAUAGCGGGAGGAACACCUGUGGCGAAAGCGGCUCUCUAGCAAAUCCCUGGCGCUGAUCUGUGAAAGCUAGGGGAGCCAGCA